CGUCGUUCAGCGUCGGCGUCGUGACGCCCGGAAUGAAAAGAGGGAUUCAGUUACUGUUCGACCUUAACGCGUUUCGCGUUUCGCGUUUCGCGUUACACUUCUAACUCGCAAUUUAUUUUCUUUUUAUUACAAUAAUACAAUAAUAGAAAGAAAAAAGCAAAAAAAAAAAACACACCUCCGCAGUUUCAUUUAAUGUCAUUUAAAUUGCAUCAAAUUUCAUUCGUUUAUUUUGUGUGUUUGUGUGUGUGUGUGUGUGUAUUAAUAUCAGUAAAAUCAGAGGACUGAUACAUUUGAACGAAUAAAAAAAGAAGCUGAUUAGAAAAUUGAAAUGAAAUGUUGUUUGUUUCAUCGUCAUGCAUUGGUGUUAAUUGAAAUAAUACAAAAAUAUAAAAGUGAAUAGGAGGAAAAAGAGGAGGAGUAGGAGGAGUAGGAGGAAGGGAAGGAGGAUAAUUUGAUCCUCUGUUCUCAUUUUCUAAUUUUAUUUGUGUUUUUUUUUUGUAAACUUGAAUUUCUUCAGGUUUGCAAUUCAAACAACAAAAGUAUAUAUAUAUAUAUAUUUGCAAUAAGGUUUUUUUUAUAUUUCAUGUGAGUGUAUAGGUGUAGUAUAGGUGUAUGUUGGUGUAUACGUGUGUUUAUUAUUUAAUUUAAAAUUUAAUAUAUAUAUAUAUAUAUAUAUACAACAAAUUGGUGAAACUUCCAGAACAAAUUGCACUAAGAUACAAACAUUUUAUUUGUUUUACAAUCUGAUUGAGUAUAAAUCACUUGUUGGUAUUCAAUAACAGAAAACUUGGAAAGGGUUGUUUUUGAAUUAUCGAGCAAUUUUUUUUUUAUUUAAAAAAAAUAGUAUGAGAAACAACAAAUUGAAAGAUUGAGACAGUGUUUUGUUAUACAACAGGUCUCAAUAGAAAAUAAAUCCGUGAAUUGUUGUGUGGUGGUGGUGUUUUACUUGGAUCAUAAGUUAAUCAAUUUUUUGGGGAUAAUUUCUACUAAGUGUUGGUACUACGAAUAAACAAAAACAAAAAAAAAAAAGAUCGUAAAAAAGGAAAAAUUUUUAUUAAAUAACAAAAGUGAUCACAUCGAAACAAUAUUUGUCUCAUUGAUUUGAAAUUGAUUGAAAGUUUUACAAAAAGACCCUCCCAUCAUCAUCAUCAUCGUCGGUGUCGAACUGUCCUUAAACUCCAACUAAUUGAAGAAGUGGAUACAAAUGGUUACGGGAAGAAUCCAUCUUGAAUUAGUGAUAAAAUAAAUAAUAAAAAGGACGAAUUUUGUUUCGUUGUUUGUAAUUUGUUAAUCCUCGAAGAAGAAGAAAAACGACGAAGAGCGGAUGCUGCGUACGAAGAGAGUUACGCGAUUAAGAAGACAACGAGGACGACGCCGACGAGGAGGAGGAGGAGGUGGAGGAAGAGGAAAAGGAGGAGGAGGUGGUGGAGGAGGAAGAACUCGCGGUACCAAAGAGAGUCACUGACCUCUCGACCGAUUAAAGUUCAGAUUGUGUGAUGUUUGAUGCUGCAGUGGUGCUUUAUGCGGAGGCGACGAAAAGACUAACAAUGCGAUGAAUUUCCGUUGACAUUUAUGGAGAGAAAGAGAGAAAGGAAGGUGAUGAUGGUGGAACUUUGACUCUCAUUUAUAUUAUUAGUUGAGAUCAUAUUCAGGUAUCGUAUCUUUAAAUUCGUAACGAGAACUCACGUACCGUU
Molecule: long non-coding RNA, 1694 nt
Organism: Polistes dominula (European paper wasp)
Lineage: Eukaryota; Metazoa; Arthropoda; Insecta; Hymenoptera; Vespidae
Source: RefSeq, a predicted model, not a curated record